CACGCUGUAAACGAUGAUCACUAGGUGUAGCGGGUACUCAUUCCUGCUGUGCCGCAGCUAACGCGUUAAGUGAUCCGCCUGGGGAUUACGGUCGCAAGACUAAAACUCAAAGGAAUUGACGGGGGCCCGCACAAGCGGUGGAGUAUGUGGUUUAAUUCGACGCAACGCGAAGAACCUUACCUGGGCUUGACAUCCCCGGGCAGGCGUGGAAACACGUUUUUCACCUUCGGGUGACCGGGAGACAGGUGC
RNAcentral lists this ribosomal RNA (249 nucleotides) under uncultured Syntrophobacter sp. Its description in RNAcentral is "partial 16S ribosomal RNA". It matches the Rfam family "Bacterial small subunit ribosomal RNA", at positions 796 to 1041 of the family's 1533-position model. The record is from RNAcentral. Lineage: Bacteria; Pseudomonadati; Thermodesulfobacteriota; Syntrophobacteria; Syntrophobacterales; Syntrophobacteraceae.